This 301-nucleotide ribosomal RNA is filed under the name uncultured bacterium. Its description in RNAcentral is "partial 16S ribosomal RNA". It matches the Rfam family "Bacterial small subunit ribosomal RNA", at positions 509 to 809 of the family's 1533-position model. The record is from RNAcentral.
CAGUAGCCGCGGUAAUACGAACCGUGCGAACGUUAUUCGGAAUUACUGGGCGUAAAGGGAGCGUAGGCGGAUCGUUAAGUUGGGGGUGAAAGCCCGGGGCUCAACCUCGGAAUUGCCUUCAAUACUGGCGAUCUUAAGUAUGGGAGAGGUAUGUGGAACUCCGAGCGUAGAGGUGAAAUUCGUAGAUAUUCGGAAGAACACCAGUGGCGAAGGCGACAUACUGGUCCAUUACUGACGCUGAGGCUCGAAAGCGUGGGGAGCAAACAGGAUUAGAUACCCGAGUAGUCCCUGUCUCUUAUAU